UGUGUGUGUAUGUGUAUGUAUGUUGUUACAGGGUGGUUAACUUCGCCAGCGGCCCCCUUUCCCGGGGCAGUCCCUGCUCUCCCCUGCUAGAGGGGCACCCUAAUCCGUCACCCCAUCCGACUUCAGAAUGUAUUCGUUGGGUUCGGCAACUCACCACCAGCAUCCAACCAAAUCUAGCGGAUCAACGGCGCAUCAACUUAGUUCCUGGUCAGCUCGCAAGUUGAUAUUAUCACGUCCUACACCGUCCAUAAGAUGGGGGGCCACCUCCCAUUUCAUCACUCCUCAAACACCCGAGGAGCCGGCAGGCGGAUUUGAACCCGGGUCGACUGGGUCGACUGGGAGCAGAAGUCAGGCCUUAACCUCUGCCAGCCGCCUGCCUAUAUAUAUGUGUAUGUAUGUGUGAAGGUUACAAGUAUUUGACCGGGCCUGACGACACUGGCCACAGGGGCUGCUGCCCAGCCCCAACGGAAAACCCGCCUAAGCUCUCUCUCUCCCCCGCGGACGGGAGAGCGGCGCUAGAUGGGCCUCAUCCCCCUCCUAAGCAGCCGAGAGCUGCAGGUCCCCUCUCCUCCCCUGGGGGGUGGGGAGGGGGGAAGAAGCGUGUGUAUGUGGAUGUCUUUGUGCAUAGGAUAACAUCGACAGGUGUGUACAAAUAGCUUUAGUUAUGAAAGACCACGACAACCUUAAAAAUGUGGACGUAUGCUAGGUAUGGUUACAAUUGUAUUGGUUGUUUCUUAUUUCAUGUCUUUACAUUUUAUGUUCUAAUAUAAGGGAUAAUUGUUUUGCAGUUGGUACGGCAAGCGGUGGGAGGCGUCAACGGGGCCGAAGGGUCCCCUGAAGGAGCGGCUGCCAUCCUCGCCGCGCGGGACGGCCACAUUGCGGAACUGACGAUCAUGACGGUUGAUGCACUGGCGGUGCCGUACGAUACGACAAACCGUACACCAGUGACCGCCAAGGACGAUCCCGUUAUCUGCAUUGGCUGUGAUGUACGAACGUACGGCACAACGUCACGGCCAGCGGUGGGGCCAGAUUUGUGUGCACAGGACAGUCCAGGGUUGGCGGAGGCGGGGCGUCUUGACGUCAGCAGCGGCGGCGGCAGCGGCGGCGGUGGCGGCGGCGGCAGCGGUGGCGGCGAUAUCCAGCAGGCGUGCACGCGGGGCUCUGUGGUUGUGUUUUUGGUGGCAGGUGAGUUGGUGAGUGCGGUUGGCUCCGGGGAUUGGUUGGGGUUUUAAAGUACGUGUAAUAGCAACAGCAACAGCAAUAGCAACAGCAGCAGUAGCAACAUGGGCUUUUACUGUCUGUAAGUGUGUAUGUGCGUCCUUGCGCCCUUUCAGCCGUACUAGAUGGGAACAUCGGGCCGUACAUCAAAAAGCCCCUGUUGCUACUGCUGCUGUUGCUAUUGCUGUUGCUACUGCUGCUGUUGCUGCUACUCAUGCUGCCACUCAUGCCCCUGCUGCUGCUGAUGUUGUGUAAAAUACCCAGUGUGGGCCCUCUCCCCUUUCUCCCCCCCCCUUCCUCUCCCCUUGCCCCGGCAGCAGCUUCACUAGUUUGUGGUUCGUCUUUCCCCCCCCCCUUCCCCGCCCAAUACCAUCCCCCAACCCCUCCCGUACAUCUCCCCCCUUUACCGGCAGGUAGCGCUCUGACCCACGGGUCACCCCCGCUAACGAGAGCAGCACUCCAGGGAGCAGAGCUGAGGUGCUUUGACAGCGAGCGGGAAAUGCUGCUGGUGAGGGGGGGAUGACGGGGACUGGCACAGGCACGCAUACACGGCACACGCCCGCUCACCUCUUACCCCCCAAAAGAGCCCCACAAGUGGUUCCCCCCCUUCCCACACGCAGGCUUGGAAGGAGUGGCUGUUGGAAGUGGAUCCGGACAUUGUCACCACGUACCAGGUCCGGGUUCAGGGGGGCAGGGAGGGCUGAGGACUCGGAAAGGGAGGGGUGUCUGGAUGCUAUGUGUUUAGUGAAGAGUGAGGGAAUAUGAGGUUGUGGAGAGGAGGCCGGAAUAAUUACAGGUUCGCAGUGACAUAAAAGGAUAUCUUUGUGGGCCUGCUAGAAUAAUCCUUUCCGUUUUGCAGUACAUGUGUACGGAUUGACGUACAUUCAAAUCCUUAGCGCAGGUUCGGGAUACGUUAGGUGCGAUCCGGGACCGCUUCGAGAGGCUGCGGCUCGAGGGAGGGGGUUUGCUGGUAUCGCGGAUGGCGCCAGUGUACGGCAGUGGUGGCACCGGUGGGGCCGUCGCCGCGUCUCCGUUGACCGUUAAGACCGUUGUGAUGUACAGCGCGGCGUGGGUGAAGCGGCAGGGCCGCAUGUCCUCCAACAGCAACCAGGUAUCUAUCUAGCUGGGGGGGGAGAGGGGAGGGAGGGGGAGGGGGAGGGGGGGAGAGAGGGGAGGGAGGGGGACGGGGAGGGGGGGAGAGAGGGGAGGGGGAGAGGGGAAGGUGCUUAGGGACACGUUUGCUUUGCAUGUAUAACUCCUGUAUGAAUGUAUGUAUGAACUAUAUAUAAAUAUAUGAUGUUGGCAAACACAUGCACGCGGAAGUACCUUGAUGUAUCUCUUUCCCCCCCUCCCUCUCUCUCUCUCUCCCGUCUCCUCAACCCCCCCUCCACACACGCACCCCCUCCCCAAACACCCCUCCCCCAGGAAACCUUUCAGGCAGAAGUCAGGGGCCGUGUUGUUGUGGACGUGUUGCGCCAGGUAGGGUGCGGGGCGUGCAGGAGGAGGAGGAGGGGGGGUAGGCUGAGGAGGUAAGAGGGAUUGUGUGCUGGUUGUACAGCAGCUGUUGGGGCGAUGGGGGGUUUCUGGUUUAGGAAAACGGACAUCAUCCUUCAUAGCAAACUCUACGUACUUUUACCUGUGUGUACUUUAAAUACAUACGUGUAUGUGUGUGUAUGUGUAUGUGUGCGUGUGUGUGUAUUUGUGUUGCAGCUGUAGCAGAGCCGAUGGCUUCGGGCCGUCUGGCCUAAAUUUGAAUUCUGGUCUAGGAUUGAGCGCCAUAGGAGGGCGCCAUACUCCUUAUCCACCGCCACAAUGGGACCAGGAACUUAGGGUUUUGCUAAAUGCAGCGGUGUCACCAGACAAUACCAUAAUUUGUAAAGGCCACGUAAUCACAUACACAUGUGUGUCCGUGUGUACGUGAUGUAUGUACGUAUGUAUGUAUGUCCAGGUGUUGACCUCCCAAUCGUUAGCGACCUUCAGCCUGGUGGACUGCUGCCAGGUGGGUCGCGGGUGGGAGGGGAGGGGAGGGGAUAAAAGGGGGGUUGAGGGGUAAGGGGGGUUUGAGGGGUAAGGGGGGUUUGAGGGGUAAGGGGGGUUUGAGGGGUAAGGGGGGUUUGAGGGGUAAGGGAGGGUUAAGAGGAGAAGUUACGCACACCGAUAACUUGAAUCCUGGCUGUGCCAACCCCCGGGGGCCGUUUCGGAAGCCCCCCCCUUCCCCCCUCCCAGGUGUCCUAUCUGUUAGGGAGGGCUUUGAAACACAGUCGCGUGUCAUUUCCUCCGCCCCCUCCACACCUUGCUCCGGUUUAACCCCCCUCAAUUUCCCGCACUUUUCAUGUUGUGAGAAAUUUGAAAUUCGCAACUGAAGCCUCCCUGGCCCUCUGCCCUCUGCCCUUACACACGACCUCCUCCCACUGACCCAAUCCCCGACCCUGGCGCUUCGCUUUGCAACCCCACCCCAACCCCUCUGCCAACUGCUAACGGCCAACUGCUAACGGCCAACUGCCAACUGCCCAACCCCACUGUACACAUGCGGUCGUAUGCGGCAAACCACUGAUGUGAUGAGGAGCCCGGAGCCCACUGAUUGUGUGUAUGUAUGAAUGUAUAUAUGUAUGUAUUUGUAUGUAUGUAUGCCCUAGGGUUUCUUAAACUGUCUGUCUGUGUGUUUGUGUCUGUGUGUCUGUGUGUCUGUACGGCUUAUGGCGCAGACCCUGCUGGGUGAGACGCUGGAGGUGUUGGGUCCGUUCCACCUGGCGAGGCUGGCGGCGGAGGCGCAGGGACGGCAGUCGCUGCCGCCAGCAGCAGCAGCAGCGGCAGCGGCGGCGGCGGCGGAUGCGGCGGCGGCCGCGGCCCCGGCGGCCCCGGCUUCUGAACAGUGGCAGGCCGCCGCAGCUGCAGCGGCGCGCAUCACAUCGUACAUUGUACGGCGUGUGGAUGUCAUCGUACGACUUACGUCGCGGCUGGCGACGCUGCCGGAGGCUUUUGAGAUGGCGCGUGUGACAGGGCUCACGAUACCACAGGUGUACGACUUGCCGUACAGAGCAUAACAAGGGUACAUGCCGUUUGUUGGCAUCAAAGUUGUCUUUCUCUCCCGGACACACCACUGCCGUACUGCCCCCCUCCACGUACAGGGCCAUCUUUUCCGGAGGACUACACUCUCCGAAACCAGGAACAUUAUUUGAAAUUCCAAUAUAAUAAGAAAAUUAGUCAAUUUAAUGGAGUUGCAAGUUCUGAGGAUCGAAGAUGAGAUUUUGAGGUCCAAUUCUGGUCCCAGCUUUCCUGGAGUCCAUUCUUUUUUUCUCUUUGACGUUCUGUUUGAAUUAGCAGCUUCGUCAAAUUGGACAACCUCGUCGGUUUUGGUCUAUCCGGGGAGCUUCUUUCCCCCUCAGGCUGUCCGUCUCCCCGUCUGCAGACCCCCGACCACUCUAAUUUAAAGCCACCUCCUCAGAACGGGCGGUGGGGUCCCUGUGGUGGCACUGGCCGGGGGUAGGCCCCAAGUAGACAGCCCAGUUUCGGGGCCUCGUCUCAUUGCGUACCGUACGUGCCGUACAGGUUAUGUACAACGCCCAGAUGAUUCGUACAUGGAGUCUUUUACACCGCAACGCGCACCGCCAAAAGUGCGUGUGGAGGGGAUUGGGGGGCUAUACGUAUGUGUGUGUGGGGGGGGUGGGGGGUUGGGGGUUGGGGUGGGAGUGUGUUUGUCGCGUGCUUGGGGGAAAGGGUGUUGCGCUGGGGAGCUCCCUGGAGAGCGGGUUGGGGGGUUGGGAAUGCGGAGUCAGAGGGGGAGUCUAGGAGGGUUUCAACCUGUUGUUGGGUUUUAGGGUUUUAGGGUUUUAGGGUUUUAGCCUCAGCAUUUGCGCUGCAUCCAUUUGGGAGAACCUCGGUCGGAUAGUCGCAUCUCUGAACCUCUGAUCCGGAUCCAAACCCGGAUCCAAACCCGGGUUUGAAGUUUGUAUUCCCACCCCUAGGCGCACCCUUCGCUAGUAUUUAACUUCUUUAUGAAAAUGAUGUCGCGUUGAUAUCGCCGCCUUACUGCAGCCGCUGCCUCCUCCCCCUCCCCCUCCUACUCAGCUACAUUAUUGGCGGGCGGCAAGAGGCGGGAAAUCUGAUUGAGAGUCCCUUUCUGCUGCACCCCGUAGAAAACCUUACGGCGGGUAAGAUCAGGUUGCGGCGAAGAGGAAGGGAACGAGGGCGCAUUAUUAUUAUUUAAUAUUAUUUUUUUGUUACUAUUAUUAUUUUUAUUACUAUUAUUUGCUUGGUUUUAUUUUUGGUUCAAGGGUUGGGUUUAGUGAUGGUUUUAGUCCUUAAGGGGUCGAGGGUAAGCCGUCGAAGCGGAUGCUUCUUAGGGCCUUGCUUUUUUUCCCCCUUAUUCUAAAAAUUGCCUUUACUUGCUUGUCCUUGUUAUCCCUUUUCGCAGGCACCAGAGACUGCCGUACACACAAUUAGCAAGUUUCUUGUGCUCGUCCCAUUCCCCCUCGUCAUUCCCUACCCUAGCCCUACCCUGGGGUAUCCCCUUGGGGUCUGGAACUCGAUAUAAUACCUGCUACUGCUACUGCUACUGCUACUGCUACUGCUACUACUCCCUGCCUGCAUACAGUGUAUGGACUCAUUAACAGGCUCAUUAAGCAUAAAGAGCGGGUGUCUUGUAUGGUUGAAUGCUCGUCCAGGUUUGUACCGCACUCCGGUGGCCACUCUGGACUUCGCCUCGCUGUAUCCCUCCCUUUACCGCGCGUACAACCUGUGCUAUACGACACUCGUCCACCCUGAUGACGUGGACACCGUGGGCAGGGAGCGGUGCGGCUUCACCCCCACGGGACACGCGUUCGUGAAACCCGAGGUGCGUUCGGAACUCCCCUCCCCUCCCCUCCCCGGCUGUUUCCUUGGGGAAACAGGUUUUGCGCCGUACAAAAUUCCCCCCUCCUCUUUCCUGCGGCGUGCGCUCUCUCUGCCCCUCUCUUCCCCCGCCAUUUCCCGUCGCCCGUUGGUCGUACGCAAAACCCAAAACGGCUUGUUUGCCGUUUGCACUUGUUUGCUGCUAUGGGAGUGUGUCUUCUCUCCGGGGACCUGUGGGUUGCGGUCUGGAAGGGGGAGGGGGAGGGGGGAGUGGGGGAAUCCCCCCGGGGGUCGACGGGGAUCGCUUGAAGGCCGCCACUCGGCGCCUCACCUAUGUUACUCCGGAACCAUACGGUCCUGCAGCAGGGCCUUAUCCGCAAAUACAUCGACAUACAUACAUACAUACAUACUUACUUCAGUCGGUAGAUUUGCUCGGGGGCAACCCCCGGGAUUUCCCUUUUCGUGUUUCAGCGGAUUAGAAAGCACUUGCACAUGUACGGUACGGUACAUGGACCGACCUACAGACAUACAUAAAAGACAUAUCACAGACAUACAGACGUGGAUACAUACAUGCACGGUUUUUUUUCAGGUUCGGCCCGGUAUCCUUCCCACCAUCCUGGCCGCUCUCAUGUCCGCCCGCGCCGCCACACGAGCCAAGCUCAAGGCCGUACAGUACGACGCCGCUGCCGCUGCCGUACUGGACUCCCGCCAAAAGGCGCUCAAGAUCACGGCCAAUGCACUGUACGGCUUUACUGGUGCGGUACACCGUACAUGCGACACACGCGUAAACCCCUUUGACCCCUUAACCCCCUCUAAACCCCUUCAAGUUGUACGGAGAGCCGUACGGCGCGCAUGCCGUACACCGUACGGCACAUCCCAAAUGAUAUGCCAUUUGUAAUUCUCUUUGCCUGCGAAGGCUAGACAUUACUCAACACACACACACACACACGCUUCGACAGAAUCGACUUUUCCAUUCGCACAUGCGCACAACAAUACACACAUGCCCUCCGUCUCUCCCCCCUUGCGGUAUCAGACAUUAGGUAACAGAUGAAAGGUCCCGGGCCCUCCGACCCCGCGCAGGCGCUGCCGCCUCCCCCCUCCAGUGCCUCCCCUUGGCGGAUAGCUGCCUGGCCUACGGGGCAGCGGCGUGCAGGGCUGCCGUACAAACGAUCACACACGCGAUGGAAGCGGCGUCAGCUGCAGCUGACGGAGCAGCUGACGUCGGAGGCGCUGGCGGCGGCGGCGGCGGCGGUGCGGGACUGCUCGGUCCGGCGGCGGCUGGUGGGCGAGUUAUCUACGCACAGACCGACAGCGUGUUCGUACACUUCCCCAGGUAGUUGGGGUCCCAAGGGGGGAUACUGAGGAAUGAAAGUACGACGGUGCGGAUGUGCAGCGGGGGAGGUAGGGGGAUCAGCUGUUCAUCCCCCAACCUGUACGGAGGUAGCAGGGGCUCCGAGGUUAAACGCGUGUUGGGGUCGUGGUGGUGGUGAUUGUGUUGGUGACAUAUACACACACACGAGUAUGACCUUGCUUCCCCGCCCUCCCCCCCCGUAAACCAUCGUCCCACACGCGCGCGCACGCGCGGGCGGUACAUCGUACGUACGGUGGAUGCCUCUGGAAAGGGCCACUCCGGAAGAAGCUGUACGGCUUGGGAAGCAGGUACGGCAUUUGUACGGUGUUCCUUUUGAGUCAGCUGCACACAUACUUGCAUACACACAAACACACACCCGCACGGCCCCUCAAACCCUCUCCCCGGAACCUCACUGACUGCCCCUCUCCACCCCCUCGCCCCCCGCCCCUCACCCCCUUCAAACCCCCCCUUCCCCCCAUCACCCCCCUUUCCCUCUCUUGCAUACGCUCUCCCCACCCAGGCCGCUGCUCUGGUUACCUCCUCUCUGCCACUUCCCAUGGAGCUCAAGUACGAGAAGGUGAUGGCGCCCUUCCUGCUGCUGCACGUGAACCGGUAUGCGGGCAGGGCCAUGGAGACGGAGGAGGACGCAGCAAGCCCAGAGACCCGUGGGUCGCUACUGGUGAGUCCUUUAUUUUGUCUCAAUGACCGAAGGCGAAGGAAGGGUAAGUGAGACAGACCCAUGGGUCAUUGUAAGACCCCCGUGGCUAUAUCUUCAAUGGCAGAAAUAUUUUGAACUUUCAUAUUUUUUUCUCUUCCCAAUUUUAAGUUACCGGCCAUGUCGUAAAGCUUACAUCAUGUGGUCAUGGGUGAGAAAUUAAUUUUGACAUAAUAUUCUCUUUUUGCUUCUUUUUUUGUUGCAUCAAUUUUUAUAUGGUUCCUCUUUACCCCCCAUCUCACCCCCCCGGCAUACAACGUACAAUCCUCUUUCCCCCCCCCCGUCACACCCCCAAACCCCCACACCACCCCCCAGGUAAAGGGUGUCCGCAGUAUGUGGCGGCAAAGUGCCCCCUUGGUGAGUCAGGUACUGCAGGGCUCCCUGGAGCGGAUCCUAAUGCGAGGUGACGUGGCAGCCGCGGUGUCGUACGCCGAGAACCAGAUACGGCGGCUGCUGUCCGGUCGGGUCGAUCUGGGGGAGCUGGCAAUGACCGGGGGUGCGUUGGGCCGGGGGAGGGUUUGAGAGGUGUGGGGUUAAGAGUGGUAAGUUGCGGGUACGGUGUACGGGAGGAAAGGGCAUGACGCAAGGACACAGGGAUAGACAGACAGAUAGACAGACAGACAGAUAGACAGCUGUACGAUGUGUGAAACAGGGGGGUGUAUCUUCGCCCGUGGCAGCUACCCUGCGAAACCCUGCCUUCCCCGGUAUUUCGGGGCACCCUCAUCCAGUCACCCUAGUCAACUUCUCAGUGAUCGNNNNNNNNNNNNNNNNNNNNNNNNNNNNNNNNNNNNNNNNNNNNNNNNNNNNNNNNNNNNNNNNNNNNNNNNNNNNNNNNNNNNNNNNNNNNNNNNNNNNNNNNNNNNNNNNNNNNNNNNNNNNNNNNNNNNNNNNNNNNNNNNNNNNNNNNNNNNNNNNNNNNNNNNNNNNNNNNNNNNNNNNNNNNNNNNNNNNNNNNNNNNNNNNNNNNNNNNNNNNNNNNNNNNNNNNNNNNNNNNNNNNNNNNNNNNNNNNNNNNNNNNNNNNNNNNNNNNNNNNNNNNNNNNNNNNNNNNNNNNNNNNNNNNNNNNNNNNNNNNNNNNNNNNNNNNNNNNNNNNNNNNNNNNNNNNNNNNNGCGCAAUGCCUUCCACCAUCGGAAGGACUUUUGACCCUAAUGGGUAUCGAUCCCGGGAUCUCGAGCUGUAUGUAUGUAUGUUGUUACAGGGUGGUUAACUUCGCCAGCGGCCCCCUUUCCCGGGGCAGUCCCUGCUCUCCCCUGCUAGAGGGGCACCCUAAACCGUCACCCCAUCCGACUUCAGAAUGUAUUCGUUGGGUUCGGCAACUCACCACCAGCAUCCAACCAAAUCUAGCGGAUCAACGGCGCAUCAACUUAGUUCCUGGUCAGCUCGCAAGUUAUUUUAUCACCUCCUACAUCGUCCAUAUGAUGGGGGGCCACCUCCCAAUUCAACACUCCUCAAACACCCGAGGAGCCGGCAGGCGGAUUUAAACCCGGGUCGGCCGGGAGCAGAAGUCAGGCCUUAACCUCUGCCAGCCGCCAGUAUGUAUGUAUGUAUGUAUGCAUGCGAUCAAACACAACUUACUUUUCAACCUUGCUGUCGUACACACAUAUACACACACACGCACACUCGCACACGCACGCAGGCCUUUGGCGCAUCACGGGACAGCAAGUCGCGGCGGCGGCGGCAGCAGCUGGUAAGAGCAGCUCCCCCGCAACCCCACUCGCUCACCACCACCCACCCAGCCCAGCUCCCACGAC
Molecule: long non-coding RNA, 9868 nt
Filed under: Volvox carteri
Lineage: Eukaryota; Viridiplantae; Chlorophyta; Chlorophyceae; Chlamydomonadales; Volvocaceae
Description: long non-coding RNA (VCAR_LNC002185)
Source: RNAcentral